This 464-nucleotide ribosomal RNA is filed under the name uncultured Eubacteriales bacterium. Its description in RNAcentral is "bacterial SSU rRNA". It matches the Rfam family "Bacterial small subunit ribosomal RNA", at positions 338 to 795 of the family's 1533-position model. Lineage: Bacteria; Bacillati; Bacillota; Clostridia; Eubacteriales. The record is from RNAcentral.
CCUACGGGGGGCUGCAGUGGGGAAUAUUGCGCAAUGGGGGGAACCCUGACGCAGCAACGCCGCGUGAGUGAAGAAGGCCUUCGGGUCGUAAAGCUCUGUCGAGAGGGAAGAAGUCUCUAGGGAGAAUAUCUUUAGAGGUGACGGUACCUUUUAAGGAAGCCCCGGCUAACUACGUGCCAGCAGCCGCGGUAAAACGUAGGGGGCGAGCGUUGUCCGGAAUUACUGGGCGUAAAGGGCGUGUAGGCGGCUAGGUAAGUCAGGUGUGAAAACUUUUGGCUCAACCAGGAGACUGCACUUGAAACUGCGUAGCUUGAGGGUAGGAGAGGAAAGUGGAAUUCCUAGUGUAGCGGUGAAAUGCGUAGAUAUUAGGAGGAACACCAGUGGCGAAGGCGACUUUCUGGCCUAACCCUGACGCUGAGGCGCGAAAGCGUGGGGAGCAAACAGGAUUAGAUACCCCGGUAGUC